UACGGAGGAGGCAAGCGUUAUCCGGAAUUACUGGGCGUAAAGAGAUGCGUAGGCGGUAGCUCAAGCAGACAGUGAAAUCGUGUGGCUCAACCACUCGGCUAUUGUCUGAACUAGGUUACUAGAGAAUGGAAGAGGUAGCUGGAAUUCCCGGUGUAGGAGUGAAAUCCGUAGAUAUCGGGAGGAACACCAAUGGCGAAGGCAGGCUACUGGUCCAUUUCUGACGCUGAGGCUCGAAAGCGUGGGGAGCGAACGGG
Molecule: ribosomal RNA, 254 nt
Filed under: uncultured bacterium
Lineage: Bacteria
Description: partial 16S ribosomal RNA
Rfam family: Bacterial small subunit ribosomal RNA
Source: RNAcentral